Long non-coding RNA from Gallus gallus (chicken), 556 nucleotides. NCBI's taxonomy places the organism in Eukaryota, Metazoa, Chordata, Aves, Galliformes, Phasianidae. The record is from Ensembl.
UGGGAGGGAAACUAAUUGAUUGAACUCAAGAUAUCCUCUCAGAACUCCCAUUCCCAUUACUCUCGUCCUCUCUCCAGUGCACUGGUUUGCACUCAGCUUUACCAGUGCAGGUGGCUGUGGCCUGGCACCUCUGCAGAAGGCAUCUCAAGCAGAGCAGUGAGCCGCUCGCUGCAGCUGCAGCAGCAGAGGCUGCUGAGCACCCCCAACAAUGCCUCUUGGCAUCCAGUGGCAAAACAAGGUCCUUAAGGCAUGGCAGGAUGAAGUGAGGUUUGUGAAGUUUGCCCGACGUCUGUAUGACAAAAUGCCCACAACAAACGGUGAGCAUUUAACAUUAAUUUUAGCUGAAGCAAGCUCUGUCUGGUCUCUUCUUCUGGGCUUUCACUUCAGGUCAAUAAGUAGAUGCUGUCAUUCCCCUAUUUCCUGGACUAAAGAUUUAAAAGUAAUAGCAGCUGUCAAAUGUUUUCAGCUUGGUUUCUUUCCCUGGACCAUUACAUUGUAUUGUGCCAUCAGUGCAGAAGAACCAUUCAUUCUGCCAAACACUGCAGAGCUGGAGAGG